This 402-nucleotide unclassified non-coding RNA is filed under the name soil metagenome. RNAcentral's name for it is "partial contains 5.8S ribosomal RNA, internal transcribed spacer 2, and large subunit ribosomal RNA". The stretch from base 1 to 122 matches the Rfam family "5.8S ribosomal RNA", at positions 35 to 154 of the family's 154-position model. The record is from RNAcentral.
GAUGAAGAACGUAGGUGAAAUGCGAUAAGUAAUGUGAAUUGCAGAAUUCAGUGAAUCAUCGAAUCUUUGAACGCACCUUGCGCCCCUUGGUUAUUCCAAAGGGCAUGCCUGUUUGAGUAUCAUGAACACCUCAACUCUUGUGGUUUCCCACAAUGAGCUUGGACUGUGGAGGUUUUGUUGGCCCUGUGGUCAGCUCCUCUCAAAUGGAUCAGCUUACCGGUGUUUGGUGGCAUUACGGGUGUGAUAACUAUCUACGCUCGUGGUCGUCUCCAAAUAACCUCCAGUGAUGGAGGUUCGCUGGAGCUUAUAAAUGUCUCUCCCCAGUGAAGACAGCCUUUGAACGUUCGAUCUCAAAUCAGGUAGGACUACCCGCUGAACUUAAGCAUAUCAAUAAGCGGAGGA